CAGGACAUGACUGCAUUUCUUGGGCAUGAGAACCUCCUAAAGCUGAGGAAAUCAUGCAAAUAAUUUCCAAGCCUGAAAUGUUCCAAGCUUACUGCACUGCUAAAGAGAAUAUCAGAAGUGUUACCACCUUAGUUUUGGAGAUGAGAAGAGAGCCUCUUUUGAGCGACUGCUAUGGGAAGAAAUUUCAACAAGAGCUGGGCAGAUCCAGGAUGACCCUUUCUUGGAGGAGGAGAUAUCAGAGCCCUAAGUCAGAGAACACCUGGUUCCCACAGGUUUCAACCGUCACCUACAUAUCUUAAAACACCUUGAACAUGGCUGAAUAAUGAGCUGCAGAAGGACAGAGAGAAAAG
Molecule: long non-coding RNA, 350 nt
Filed under: Gallus gallus (chicken)
Lineage: Eukaryota; Metazoa; Chordata; Aves; Galliformes; Phasianidae
Source: RNAcentral